This is a long non-coding RNA of Anastrepha obliqua, 611 nucleotides long. RefSeq lists it as uncharacterized. The transcript has 2 exons. The record is from RefSeq and is a predicted model, not a curated record. Lineage: Eukaryota; Metazoa; Arthropoda; Insecta; Diptera; Tephritidae.
AAAAAGAUGAACGUGGGAGAAUUUGAGGUUUGUUAAGGUGUUGAAGGACUUGGGGUCUUGGGAGGUAACAGAUGAUUCAGAGAGGACACCUUUAUGUUUGCGGUGAAGGGCAGGAUGCGUACCUUGCUGCAGGUGUAUAAAACAACGAAGGAUAACAAAAAUCGAACGAGUUCCUGUUCGUACUUCGGUCUGUAUGAGGAGCUAACGGAUGAGAUAUUUGGCAAUGGCAAAAUUAUCUCUGACGCACAUACGAUGCAUUUAGAGAGGGACCAGUGCAGAUGUUAGACGAUGACUCGGAAUCAUCAAUGACAUCAUCACCGUUGCUGUCCCAAUUAUCUCAAAAUGCGUACUGGUGUACGCAAGGUAUACAAGGGAUCGAGAUAUGUAUGUAUGCACCAAAAGGUUCAGAAUAAUAAGAGGAAUCGAUUUAGCCGUUCUUGUCCGUCCGUUCGUUUGUCUGUGGUGGCCGCGCCGUACUGUUACUAGAGCUAUAUUUUUUAUGUACAUAUAUAGUGGCACUUAGAGUUGCUAACAGGUAUGCCUCUGAACUUUGUCUAUUUCAUCGAUCUCCGGUAAUAAAAUUUUAGCUCAUUUAUUGCAUGAACAAGAUA